AUACAUUCUAUUUAGCAAAAAAGAUAGUGUCAGAAAAUGGUUACAAUGUUUCUAGACCAAAAUGCAGAGAAACCUUUUUGUAACUCUUGCUCCAAACUUUUCUAAAAGAGAUGACAGAGGAAUUUGUGGGGCGUUUUGGGAAAAAUCCUCCUCCUGUGGUCACAUAAUAAUAACAUUCCAGCCUCUGAGAAACAUAGUGAGGAUGCUUUGAAGUUACCAUGUUCUUAUACAAGAAAAGACAUGCUUAUAAUAUCCCAUAUUGUUUAUUUGAAAGCAACUCAAAGCUGUUAAAUAAACAACACAAUAAUGUAUGCACGCUUAUACUCACUGAGUUAAACCUCAGAGGGUAUAGAGGACAUGUUAUGGCUAACCUCCAGUUCCAGAGCUGAAGAGACUGCCAGGAACUCUGGUUUGUCAGCAUCCAGAGUUUAAAUUUUACUUUUAAAAGUCCUUGCUUCCCAUGUGUCUCUCUCAUACACCAGCACACAAACAUUGUAGUGUGUAUUAGAAACCUCUUAGGUAAAGCAAGCAGUUCUUAUCAAGUGAGAUGGACUUGAAGGUUAACUACUCCUUUAAGAAUAUCUGUGUUUUAGGUGGCUGCUAGGGCGUUCUGUGUUUUCUGUUGUGUUAUGGAUAAUUAGACAAUAAAAAAAGUGUAAUAUAUGGCAAAGUAAAUUGAUUGGACUUUUUCCAUCUGUUUUAUCUGUCAGUUGAACCCUAUUUGAGAAAUACUGACAGGCAUACAAAGAUAUAAAAGGGAAAUUAGAACAUCACAAAACGUUUGAGUUGCAGAAGGUAAAUUAAAACCUCAUUAAAAGCUUGAGUUGCAGUAUGAGCACAUGCUAGAAGACAUCUCAUUCCUCACAGGGGGGCGUUUUGGUUUUGACACAAGUGAUUCAACUUUGAGAGUAUGCUCAGUAUUUUUCUGCAUAGUCAUUGGCCUGCUUUGGCAGCUUUGAUUCAUUUUUAAUCCAUAAUUUUUAUUUAUUUAUUUUUUUCUUCUGAUUUUGAACAAAGAAGCUGCUUUCCCCAAACAACCAUUACUGCAGGAUUGCUUGAUUUAUUGAUUGAUUGAUUGGGUAAUUUACAGGAGUGAAAGUGAUCUUAUAUAAAGAAACAUGACACACAAUAUAUUAAAAUCAUUAAAGGCAUGACUUUCACAUUUGUCUGGGAAAUGAACCCUGGUUAAAUUCACCUGGUAAAUGUAGUUUAAACAUUACUUAUUGAUUUGUCUACUUUAAAUUUGCACCAUUAAAUCACAAUUUACCAUUUGUCUUUAAAUAAUAUAUUCACAAAAAUUGGUGAAUUGAUCACUUGGUAUACAUCUCAAACUCAGACACACAGAAAGAAUAUUACUUUAAGUGGGCUGACAUGCAAAACCCAGUGGUUUUCACCCGUCAGACUGAUUUGGACAUUAUCCUAAGAAAAUGUUUUCCAGUCUUUGUUUAAAAAUUAGGAUUAGUGGGUGUGCAAUUAAAUUUGGCUGUGUUCUUUAUUCAUGCUUUCAAUAUUAAAUGUAAUUCCUGCCUUUCAGCACAGAUUACCUAAUAUUUUGUCUGCAAUGAAGACAUUUUUAAUUUUAAACAUUUAAUUGUUCUAUUUAGUGCAUUGGGACAACCCAAAGUCCGAUAUAAGUGGCCCUCAAGCGGAUUGAAUAUUACAGAUAUAUUGUAACACAAAAGGUAAUGGGAUGUGACUUUUGUCAUAAUCCAAAUUGUCCUAUAUCUUUUUGUUAUCUAAUCUGUAUAUUUAUAUUCCAGUUUUGUCUGAUAAUGUAAACCUUUUUUUUUAUGUUGCACAACAUAUGUUUGUGUGUCUGUCAGGUUUUUAGGUAAAGAUGAUGCGAAGACUCAAUCGGGGUAUCUUCCGUCCAUUCCAAAUCCGUUUUCUAUUAAACGAAAAGACUCAAGAGGACAAGACAAUUGGUCUGUGUACGUUUUGAUGAUUUCAUUUCCUAUUUAGAAUUCAAUAACGAGAAACGGAAAAAUCUAAUUUUGUCGUUUGGGGUCUACAAAUCGGUUGACGGCUUCAAUAUUUUAUUUGCUCUUGUUGGCGGCGCUGAAACACUCCUUUUAUCUGAUUCAGAGGUGGGGGACUCGAGUCACAUAACUUGACUCAAGUCAAUUUUCAGGACGUGACUUGCUUGAUUAAAGUAUGAAAAUUACUUGACUUUGACUUGAGAACAAGUUACUUGAGACUUGAUUUGAAGUGGAAGACUCGACAAUGACUUGAACGUAUAAUAAACAAUCAGCAAUAAAAUUAAUAAUAAAAAUAUAUAUAUUAUUGUGACUUCAGCACCACUAAUCAGCGUCUGUGCCUUUAACGCUGCAUAUUUCAAACCGCGCCAAACAUGGCAGACAGUAGUCGAGCUCCACAAAUAGUCUCGUUUAGUUAUAAAGACUUUGAACUGGACUGUGCCAAAAAAGAUUUUGUCAGAUGCAAAAUAUGCAACGCAAGAAUAUCAAUUUCAUUCGACAUUUCAAAAACCACAAGGAAAGGUAAACAAGUCAUCACUUUUAUUGUCAGUUUCACAAAGAUCUGUAACGAUUACUAAUGUACGUUAAUGAAUUAAUCUUUUAUGUUUGUCAUAAUUUGGCCUUGGUUGCAUAUGUUUUUUUCAAUUAGAAAUGUGACCAUUAUCAUUACUGAUCCGUCUCGUAAAUAGAUAUUGGUAGAUAUAGAUAGAUAUAGGUAUUGGGUAAUUUGACUAUAAAAGUGGCAUAGCUUGAUUUCAAUGUUGAUGGGCAUCUUAAAAUGAGCGGCUAUUAAAUGUGCGAAUCAGACGCGUCCGAAGGAAACGGUUCUCGGCUCAGUGUACUGGUAAUCCGAAAACCGAUGCAACCGCCUUGAGUCAAGAACGAGUCAAUCUUUCAUUCAUUAUCUGGCUUGGCUCGUUGUUCAUCUUAAGUUCUCUCUUCACAGCAGUUCAGUCAGUGUAGUAUUUGAGUAAAUUAAUUUCUCCGGGAUAUUGCUUUAUUUUAUUUUAGAUGGAGUGUCAGCCACGUAAAAAAUGUUAACAGCUUAAGUCUUUUACUCGAUACAUAUUUUUUCUCGAAACAUUUUGUGUAUGCAACACAAUUUUAUUGUAUUUUCAGAUAUUAAUAUAGCACAGAUAUGCGUAUGAUUCAUAUAUAGAAAAUGUAUAAUGAAUUAGAUACAUAAUAAUUGUAUACAAGUUAAUCUUUUCUGUGCAAAAAUAAAUAUAAUAUAUAUUGAACAAAACUUACCUCUAUUUAUUUUAGUACUGUGACUUGACGUGACUUAACUUGAAACUUAUCAGAACUCGACUUGACUUGCUUAGCGUGAACCCUUGACUUGACUUGAGUUGCUUGAUUCAUCUAAACUGUGACUUGAGAUUUGAUUCGAGACUUGAUGAUUAAGACUUGAGACUUGCUUGGACUUGACCAUGUGUGACUUAUCCCCACCUCUGAUCUGAUUGGUCGAAUCGCUCCGCCCUCAGCUCGGUCUUUUCAUUCUUUUAGACAGAAUCGGUACAAGUGCGACACUGUAAUGCCUGAAACCAUCACUCGCUGUUAAUUAGCAUAAUAUUUGAGUCAGAUGUUGCUGGGCACAUAACGCCUGUUUCACACAUACUCCGUCUGCAGUGCGUAUGCUGAUAAUGAAAGAUUGUUUCUGUUCUGUGAUAAGAGUCACAGUGCUGAAAAGGAUUAUUAUUAUUAUUAAUGAUUUGAAAUAUAACAUAAUAAACAAGUGUUGUGUUUGUGGACUAAAACAGCCGUGGAUCAGUAGCUGACUGCAAACGCGUCCUGUGUGAAAGCACAAGUGCUGCUUCUGCACCGCAUACGUAACACACACGGACUGCAUACGCACUGCAGAUGGACUAUGUGUGAAACAGGCGUAAUUCGUGCUGCUGCGACCUGCAAGUGACCCCUUUAAAUUAUUUCUAGGUUAUAGUAUUCUAUGAAUAGUGUCCCACUUAUAAAUACAGUGCAAAUAGUUAUGUCUCCUCGGAUAAAAGUGAAGUGGAAAUAAAAAUCAAUCAAUAAUAGACUGUUCCAUGAAAAUAUGUCUGUAACAUUUACCACAACAUUUUUGUCUUUUAAGUCAAAAGGCACUAGGUAUGUGUGUGUGUGACAUUAAUAAAUAAUUUAGAAAUUUAAUCAAGUUAAAUUUAUGACAUAAAUUAGUAAUAUUAGUUUUAUUACACACUAAAUUGAAUGAUGUUUGAUGUUUCUCUUCUUAGUCUUCUUUGUUGGGCUUGAGAAAGCCAACAUUUAUUUGAACAUUAUUAUUAUUUAUUAUGAGAGUAAUUGACACCAAUUGAAACUUUAAUGUUUCACCAAAUUCAGCUCAUAUCUUCAGACUCGUCUGACUCGCGUUUACAUUCCCAGAAAAUCCUAGUGACUUUUGUUAUUUGAGCAAUGAAGGCCUUAACAUUUAGGCCCAGUUUCCCGUUAAUGGCUUAAAAUAAACCAGGACUAGGCUAAUUCUACUUAAAUUAAUCCACACUAAACAACUGACUUUCUGAGAUGUUGCUUAAGUUUGGAUUAACUAGUUCUAGACUACAGAGUCUCAGAUUAAGGUAAUCAAGGACAAGUGAGAUCAUCUUUUGGAAACCCGAUUAGAUUAAUGGCAUGCACAUGUGGCUAAGGAGAGGUUAUAAAAACCUGGUAUGGACUACUUGUAAUUCAUUAGUCUUAAGGAGUGUGUGGAACAGGAGUCAUUACACUUAACCAAAAAAUGGAUCAAGGCAGAAGAAAACGCUCAAAAAACUUCAGUGAAUUUGAGAAGACCCUUUUUAAACAAAUUGUAUCAAAUUAUCCUGUAAUUGAAAACAAACAGCAUGAUUCAGGUACAGAAAACAAGAAGAAGAAGGCAUGGAUUUCCAUAUUGAAUCAAUUCAACUCAAAUGAAAAAGUAACCAAACGGACACUCCAACAAGUUCAGGUCCUGUGGAAAAACAUAAAAAUAAACCUGAAAAAAACAACUGCUGCUACGCGUCAAGAGCGUUUCAAGACAGGCGGGGGACUCCCAGUUCCACCAGACACAAAGGAGUUGGGGGACUUGUUGGCUGGGAUUAUUGAAAGUCAGCAACCCCUGGAAGGUAUUCCAGAUGAUGACCAUUUGGACAGUUCAGAUGACCUGAUCUUGACACAGGACUUGAGGGGCGCAGGGAACAGUCAAGAUGCUCAAAUGAAUCCAGCAGCAGCCAGCACCAACAUGCAGCAGCAUCCAGUCUCCUGCAGUAGCAGUAGUCAGCAUCCAGCAGUCUCUAAUCCAGGCAGCAGGUCAAGAGGGAAAAGGAUGACCAUUCAUGAGAAACUUGCCAUAGAGUUCCAUGAACGUAAUUUACAAUAUUUAAAAGAAGAACAUGAAGUCAAAAUGAAAAUCCUUCAUCUUGAGUUGUCUAUGAAAGAGAGAGACAUGAAGCAGCAGCAGUGUCAACUGA
Molecule: long non-coding RNA, 5410 nt
Organism: Carassius gibelio (silver crucian carp)
Lineage: Eukaryota; Metazoa; Chordata; Actinopteri; Cypriniformes; Cyprinidae
Exons: 3
Source: RefSeq, a predicted model, not a curated record